This 61-nucleotide transfer RNA is filed under the name Cricetulus griseus (Chinese hamster). It matches the Rfam family "tRNA", at positions 8 to 63 of the family's 71-position model. Rfam says of the family: Transfer RNA (tRNA) molecules are approximately 80 nucleotides in length. The record is from Rfam by way of RNAcentral. Lineage: Eukaryota; Metazoa; Chordata; Mammalia; Rodentia; Cricetidae.
UGGCUCAGUGGUUAAGAGCACUGGCAGAUGAUCUUCCAGAGGUCCUGAGUUCAAUUCUCAG